GAUUAUGGCUCAGGAUGAACGCUAGCGACAGGCUUAACACAUGCAAGUCGAACGGUAACAGGAAGCAGCUUGCUGCUUGCUGACGAGUGGCGGACGGGUGAGUAAUGUCUGGGAAACUGCCCGAUGGAGGGGGAUAACUACUGGAAACGGUAGCUAAUACCGCAUAAUGUCGCAAGACCAAAGAGGGGGACCUUCGGGCCUCUUGCCAUCGGAUGUGCCCAGAUGGGAUUAGCUAGUUGGUGAGGUAACGGCUCACCAAGGCGACGAUCCCUAGCUGGUCUGAGAGGAUGACCAGCCACACUGGAACUGAGACACGGUCCAGACUCCUACGGGAGGCAGCAGUGGGGAAUAUUGCACAAUGGGCGCAAGCCUGAUGCAGCCAAUGCCGCGUGUAUGAAGAAGGCCUUCGGGUUGUAAAGUACUUUCAGCGGGGAGGAAGGGGUUAAGGUUAAUAACCUUAGCCAUUGACGUUACCCGCAGAAGAAGCACCGGCUAACUCCGUGCCAGCCGCGGC
RNAcentral lists this ribosomal RNA (514 nucleotides) under uncultured bacterium. RNAcentral describes it as "bacterial SSU rRNA". It matches the Rfam family "Bacterial small subunit ribosomal RNA", at positions 15 to 518 of the family's 1533-position model. The record is from RNAcentral.